This 411-nucleotide ribosomal RNA is filed under the name uncultured bacterium. RNAcentral describes it as "bacterial SSU rRNA". It matches the Rfam family "Bacterial small subunit ribosomal RNA", at positions 9 to 412 of the family's 1533-position model. The record is from RNAcentral.
GAGUUUGAUCGUGGCUCAGGACGAACGCUGGCGGCGCGCUUAACACAUGCAAGUCGAGCGAGAACCUUUCCUUCGGGAUUGGGGACAGCGGCGAACGGGUGAGUAACACGUGGGUAAUCUGCCCUUGACAUCGGGAUAGCCCGGGGAAACCCGGAUUAAUACCGAAUAGCCUCCGGAGCCUUCGGGCGCCGGAGAAAAGGUAGCUUCGGCCUCUGGUCAAGGAUGAGCCCGCGGCGGAUUAGCUUGUUGGCGGGGUAACGGCCCACCAAGGCGACGAUCCGUAGCUGGUCUGAGAGGACGAUCAGCCACACUGGGACUGAGACACGGCCCAGACUCCUACGGGAGGCAGCAGUGGGGAAUCUUGCGCAAAUGCGGGAAACCGUGACGCAGCGACGCCGCGUGGGGGAAGAA